UACGGGGGGGGCAAGCGUUGUUCGGAAUUACUGGGCGUAAAGGGCUCGUAGGCGGCCAACUAAGUCGGACGUGAAAUCCCUCGGCUUAACCGGGGAACUUCGUCCGAUACUGGAUGGCUUGAGAUUGGGAGAGGGAUGCGGAAUUCCAGGUGUAGCGGUGAAAUGCGUAGAUAUCUGGAGGAACACCGGUGGCGAAGGCGGCAUCCUGGACCAACACUGACGCUGAUGAGCGAAAGCCAGGGGAGCAAACGGG
Molecule: ribosomal RNA, 253 nt
Filed under: uncultured bacterium
Lineage: Bacteria
Description: partial 16S ribosomal RNA
Rfam family: Bacterial small subunit ribosomal RNA
Source: RNAcentral